Molecule: unclassified non-coding RNA, 861 nt
Filed under: Zea mays
Lineage: Eukaryota; Viridiplantae; Streptophyta; Magnoliopsida; Poales; Poaceae
Description: misc RNA Zm00001eb312290
Source: RNAcentral
CGAAGAACAGCAGAGCAGUCGUAGAAAAAGGAUGUGUGGAAGCGGAAAGGGCACUGCAUGGAAGCCAGCCUGCGCUGCUUGUGCCCCGGAAUCUGAUUCCCAAAAAGCACAUAGAUCGAGCCCACACGGGAAUGAAUCACUCGAGUGAAGCGUCCAUAAAAGAUCAGGCUCACAAGUUACAAGUAGUCAAGUACGGCUGCAAGCAAAGCGAAGCACACCAAAGCGAGCAUCAAGCAGCGCCUCGCACGCUAAUCCCUUCCUUUCCUCUGCUGGCCGCCCUUAACAGCACUCGGUCCUCGCUCUCCCUGCGGCGGCCUUUUUCACACUCUGCACCUCCUCCCCUCCGGCCAGUCGAAACCGUCGCCGCCGCCGCCGGGAGGAGAAGAGCUCCAUGGACUACAGGCAGUCCUACUGCAUGACCCUGAGGAUGAACAUCGACUGCAACGGGUGCUACCAGAGGAUCAGGAGGGCGCUCCUCCAGAUGCGAGAGCUGGAGAAACACCUGAUCGACAAGAAGCACGGCCGGGUCGUAGUGUGGGGCGCCUUCAGCCCGCAGGACGUGGCCAUCAAGAUCAGGAAGCGGACCAACCGCCGCGUCGAGAUCCUCGACCUCAGCGAGGCCUCGCCGGCAGCCCCAGAAGGCGGCCCCGACGGCCACAUGUCCUGAAGGAACCACGUCACCAAUACGUACUCUGGAGAACUGCUUGCUAUUCUCUUCACUCUUCACCAAGGCAGGCCCGCCUCAGAGGACGUAACCAUAUGCCUGCCUGGCAUCUUUUACCUUCUUGUAAUUUAGGAAUCCUGCAUCAUUUUGUUCUGUAACUGUGAAGGCUUGUUGAAGUAACCAGAAAAAAAAUCUAG